This 158-nucleotide ribosomal RNA is filed under the name Polystigma pusillum. RNAcentral's name for it is "5.8S ribosomal RNA". It matches the Rfam family "5.8S ribosomal RNA". Rfam says of the family: 5.8S ribosomal RNA (5.8S rRNA) is a component of the large subunit of the eukaryotic ribosome. It is transcribed by RNA polymerase I as part of the 45S precursor that also contains 18S and 28S rRNA. Functionally, it is thought that 5.8S rRNA may be involved in ribosome translocation. Lineage: Eukaryota; Fungi; Ascomycota; Sordariomycetes; Phyllachorales; Phyllachoraceae. The record is from RNAcentral.
AAACUUUCAACAACGGAUCUCUUGGCUCUGGCAUCGAUGAAGAACGCAGCGAAAGGCGAUAUGUAAUGUGAAUUGCAGAGCUCAGUGAACCAUCGAAUCUUUGAACGCACAUUGCACCUGCUGGCAUCCCAGCAGGUAUGCCUGUCCGAGCGUCUUAU